Molecule: transfer RNA, 87 nt
Filed under: Chromatiales bacterium (ex Bugula neritina AB1)
Lineage: Bacteria; Pseudomonadati; Pseudomonadota; Gammaproteobacteria; Chromatiales
Also listed under: 11 other names
Description: tRNA-Leu
Rfam family: tRNA
About the family: Transfer RNA (tRNA) molecules are approximately 80 nucleotides in length.
Source: RNAcentral
GCCCGGGUGGCGAAAUUGGUAGACGCAAGGGACUUAAAAUCCCUCGGUAGAAAUACCGUGCCGGUUCGAUUCCGGCCCCGGGCACCA